UACGGAGGGUGCAAGCGUUAUCCGGAUUCACUGGGUUUAAAGGGUGCGUAGGUGGGCAGGUAAGUCAGUGGUGAAAUCUCUGGGCUUAACUCAGAAACUGCCAUUGAUACUAUCUGUCUUGAAUACCGUGGAGGUCAGCGGAAUAUGUCAUGUAGCGGUGAAAUGCUUAGAUAUGACAUAGAACACCAAUUGCGAAGGCAGCUCACUACGCGAAUAUUGACACUGAGGCACGAAAGCGUGGGGAUCAAACAGG
This 253-nucleotide ribosomal RNA is filed under the name uncultured bacterium. RNAcentral describes it as "partial 16S ribosomal RNA". It matches the Rfam family "Bacterial small subunit ribosomal RNA", at positions 524 to 776 of the family's 1533-position model. The record is from RNAcentral.